Molecule: ribosomal RNA, 404 nt
Filed under: uncultured bacterium
Lineage: Bacteria
Description: bacterial SSU rRNA
Rfam family: Bacterial small subunit ribosomal RNA
Source: RNAcentral
AACUCCGUGCCAGCAGCCGCGGUAAUACGGAGGGGGUUAGCGUUGUUCGGAAUUACUGGGCGUAAAGCGCGCGUAGGCGGAUUAGAAAGUUGGGGGUGAAAUCCCGGGGCUCAACCUCGGAACUGCCUCCAAAACUGCUAGUCUAGAGUUCGAGAGAGGUGAGUGGAAUUCCGAGUGUAGAGGUGAAAUUCGUAGAUAUUCGGAGGAACACCAGUGGCGAAGGCGGCUCACUGGCUCGAUACUGACGCUGAGGUGCGAAAGUGUGGGGAGCAAACAGGAUUAGAUACCCUGGUAGUCCACACCGUAAACGAUGAAUGCCAGUCGUCGGGUAGUAUACUAUUCGGUGACACACCUAACGGAUUAAGCAUUCCGCCUGGGGAGUACGGUCGCAAGAUUAAAACUCA